CCUACGGGUGGCAGCAGUGGGGAAUAUUGCGCAAUGGGCGAAAGACUGACGCAGCGACGCCGCGUGAGGGAUGAAGGUGUACGGAACGUAAAACGCUGUCAGCAGGGAAGAAAGGUCACUGUGCUAAUCAGCAGUGAAUUGACGGUACCUGCAAAGGAAGCACCGGCUAACUCCGUGCCAGCAGCCGCGGUAAUACGGAGGGGGCGAGCGUUAAUCGGAAUUACUGGGCGUAAAGCGCUCGUAGGCGGUAUGUCAAGUCAAGGGUGAAAUCCCCGCGCUCAACGUGGGAACUGCCUUUGAAACUGGCAAACUGGAGUGUGUGAGAGGCUCGUGGAAUUCCAGGUGUAGGCGUGAACUCCGUAGAUAUCUGGAGGAACAUCAGUGGCGAAGGCGACUCUCUGGCACAUAACUGACGCUGAGGAGCGAAAGCGUGGGUAGCAAACAGGAUUAGAUACCCCAGUAGUC
RNAcentral lists this ribosomal RNA (465 nucleotides) under uncultured bacterium. Its description in RNAcentral is "partial 16S ribosomal RNA". It matches the Rfam family "Bacterial small subunit ribosomal RNA", at positions 338 to 795 of the family's 1533-position model. The record is from RNAcentral.